CUUUUGUGGGGUGCUCGAGUGGCGAACGGGUGAGUAACACGUGAGUAACCUGCCCUUGACUUUGGGAUAACUUCAGGAAACCGGGGCUAAUACCGGAUAGGAGCUCCUGCUGCAUGGUGGGGGUUGGAAAGUUUCGGCGGUUGGGGAUGGACUCGCGGCUUAUCAGCUUGUUGGUGGGGUAGUGGCUUACCAAGGCUUUGACGGGUAGCCGGCCUGAGAGGGUGACCGGCCACAUUGGGACUGAGAUACGGCCCAG
Molecule: ribosomal RNA, 256 nt
Filed under: uncultured Actinomycetales bacterium
Lineage: Bacteria; Bacillati; Actinomycetota; Actinomycetes; Actinomycetales
Description: partial 16S ribosomal RNA
Rfam family: Bacterial small subunit ribosomal RNA
Source: RNAcentral